GAUGAAGAACGCAGCGAAAUGCGAUAAGUAGUGUGAAUUGCAGAAUUCAGUGAAUCAUCGAAUCUUUGAACGCACAUUGCGCCCCUUGGUAUUCCAUGGGGCAUGCCUGUUCGAGCGUCAUUUGUACCUUCAAGCUUUGCUUGGUGUUGGGUGUUUGUCUCGCCUCUGCGUGUAGACUCGCCCUAAAACAAUUGGCAGCCGGCGUAUUGAUUUCGGAGCGCAGUACAUCUCGCGCUUUGCACUCAUAACGACGACGUCCAAAAGUACAUUUUUACACUCUUGACCUCGGAUCAGGUAGGGAUACCCGCUGAACUUAAGCAUAUCAAUAAGCGGAGGA
This 337-nucleotide unclassified non-coding RNA is filed under the name soil metagenome. Its description in RNAcentral is "partial contains 5.8S ribosomal RNA, internal transcribed spacer 2, and large subunit ribosomal RNA". The stretch from base 1 to 120 matches the Rfam family "5.8S ribosomal RNA", at positions 35 to 154 of the family's 154-position model. The record is from RNAcentral.